CUGUGAUGCAGACUUGUCUAGGAAUAUGAAAUUGGGAAGAUUUGCACUUGGAAAGUAGGCGGCAAUUUGUCUCAUUAUUGGAGAAGGGGGUUUUCCAAAGAAUGUUCUUUCUUUAUGCAUGUGUUAUGUUGCUCAUCUGGUCUAUGCAUCCAAUAUGUUGUCAUAGUGGUUCUUAUUUGGAUCUCAGGGAUGCAAGUGUUCCAUUGAGUAAGGAGUACAAGAUUGGCAGCAUGGCUUAAAAAAAAAAAACAAGAUUACCAUGGACUCUAAACUUUCAGACAGGUGUUUUUUUAAUAUGUUCCACAAUUACGAAAUCUGCUGCUCAGAUUGUGCAAGAACAACAUGGAAAGUGAGUCUUCAUGCUUCAGUUCCUUUUCCAUGGUUAACAUGGAGGAAGCACAUUUACUACGUGCUCAACAAGAAAUUCCAAUAUCGGAAUAUGGGGCAAGUGUUAUAAUUUCUCUGGUUGGUUUUCCGAACUGCUGGUUCCAAUAUUGGAAUAUCAGUUUAAUUCACAAUGUUGUUUCAGGCAUCAGAAAAAUCAGCACAAGCCUAUGAAUGGGCUGAACCCCAAUUGGAAACAGUUAAAGUUGUGAGUUAACUGCUACGGAUUUGCUAUUUCUUUCUUUUAUUAAAUA
This is a long non-coding RNA of Magnolia sinica, 638 nucleotides long. RefSeq lists it as uncharacterized. NCBI's taxonomy places the organism in Eukaryota, Viridiplantae, Streptophyta, Magnoliopsida, Magnoliales, Magnoliaceae. The record is from RefSeq and is a predicted model, not a curated record. The transcript has 2 exons.